This 1367-nucleotide ribosomal RNA is filed under the name Branchiostoma floridae (Florida lancelet). Its description in RNAcentral is "16S ribosomal RNA". It matches the Rfam family "Bacterial large subunit ribosomal RNA", at positions 425 to 2759 of the family's 2925-position model. The record is from RNAcentral. Lineage: Eukaryota; Metazoa; Chordata; Leptocardii; Amphioxiformes; Branchiostomatidae.
AGUAAAUAUCUUGUAAACAAUUGUUAUGGUUUAUAAAACUUUAAUAUUGUGUAGGGGCGAACAAAAUCUAGUGAUGAGUACUGAAAAGGAAUACGAGAAAUAAUUAAUAAGGCUUUAACUAAUAACCCAAAGGUAAACUCUAUUUCCUUUUGCAUAAUGAUUUAAUUAGGGCACUUGCUGGCGUUAAUUAGUGUUAGUAAUCCCGAAACUAAACGAUUUAUUCUAGUCCUAGUAAAUUAAUGACUUAACUAAUCUAUGUUGCAAUAUAGUUAGAUGAGGCUAGAAUGGGGGUGACAUGCUAAUCGCGUUUAGUUCUAGCUGGUUAUUCAAGAAAUGAAUAAGAGUUCAGCUUUGUAGUAUUACCAAGUGGGAUUUAUCGGAAUAUGCUGGUAAAUCUAAGUGUAAACAAUCAUCUACUAUAUAUAAAUUCUGAUUUGUCUGUAGUUGGCUUAAAAGCAGCCAUCUUGUAAUAACAGCGUUAUAGCUUACAGUGAGGCGGUAACUUUAUUUUAGUUUGGUAUUGAAUAACUCUUAUAGAAUUUUAUGUUAAAAUGCGUAGGUUAACUAACUCUUAACACAAAUGUAAGUAAUUUUACUCUUUGUAUUUUGUUCUAGAUAAAGAAUUAAUGUGAAGCUAACAGGAGAGUGUAAUUGAGUUACAUAAUUAGGGGGAAGGAACUCGGCAAACAUGAAGCUCGCCUGUUUAACAAAAACAUCGCCUUUAGACUAAUAUUAAAGGUCUGGUCUGCCCGGUGUAAUUAUUAACGGCCGCGGUAUUCUGACUGUGCAAAGGUAGCAUAAUCACUUGCCCUUUAAAUGGGGGAAUGUAUGAAUGAUUAGACGAGGUUUCGACUGUCUUUCCCCUAAAAACUGAGAUUUCAGUGUCUGUGAAAAUGCGGGCAUGGCUGUAAUGGACGAGAAGACCCUGUUGAGCUUGAAGACUACAUAUUAGCGUCUGUUAGAAUAAAAUAAUUAAUUAUUACCAAACAUGCGUAAUUAAACGGUCUUUUGGCUGGGGUGGCAAGCAAAGGAAUUAAGCUUUGAUAUUAAAAUUUACAUUUUUAGGCUGUUUAUGCCAAGGAAUACUAAUACAGAUCCGCUAAGAGCGAUUAAUAGAUAAAGUUACCACAGGGAUAACAGCGUAAUUCUUUUUGAGAGCCCAUAUUGACAAAAGGGUUUGCGACCUCGAUGUUGGAUCAAGAUUCCUAAUGGUGUAGCAGCUAUUAUGGGUUUGCCUGUUCGGCGAUUAAAAUCUUACGUGAUCUGAGUUCAGACCGUCGUAAGACAGGUUAGAUUCUAUCCUUACAUUCACAUAUUUAGUACGAAAGGACCAAUGGUGUGUAAUUUUAAGGUUUUUUUAAAUUAUA